This 285-nucleotide ribosomal RNA is filed under the name Salmonella enterica subsp. enterica serovar Agona str. SA-4. RNAcentral's name for it is "partial 23S ribosomal RNA". It matches the Rfam family "Bacterial large subunit ribosomal RNA", at positions 2648 to 2925 of the family's 2925-position model. The record is from RNAcentral. Lineage: Bacteria; Pseudomonadati; Pseudomonadota; Gammaproteobacteria; Enterobacterales; Enterobacteriaceae.
UGGGCGCUGGAGAACUGAGGGGGGCUGCUCCUAGUACGAGAGGACCGGAGUGGACGCAUCACUGGUGUUCGGGUUGUCAUGCCAAUGGCACUGCCCGGUAGCUAAAUGCGGAAGAGAUAAGUGCUGAAAGCAUCUAAGCACGAAACUUGCCCCGAGAUGAGUUCUCCCUGAGACUUUAGGUCUCCUGAAGGAACGUUGAAGACGACGACGUUGAUAGGCCGGGUGUGUAAGCGCAGCGAUGCGUUGAGCUAACCGGUACUAAUGAACCGUGAGGCUUAACCUUAC